AUCGAGGAGGUAGAGCCACACGCUUACCUUAGGGAAACACCUUGCACGUUAUAACUGGACAGGUAAAUGUUUGGUGAAAGAGGAUAAAGGAAAUAGAGCCGGUGGCGUGCGAGGAUAUUCAGGAAAACGUCCGGGGCACUGAACUCCCACCACCACUUAGGGAGGCUUUUCCUGUGGAGCCUCGCCCUCCGGUCGGAAGUCGCCUCAACCUGCCUGCCCGGAAGCCGUCGCCUUAGCAACACAGCGUUGUCCCGUCCUCUUCCCUUAGCCACGCCCAUUGUACUUAGAAUUCUAGAGCCAGCCAGACAUCGAUUGGUUCACUUAUCCUUCACUCCGCGAGACAGGCGAGACUGCAGGGCUCUGGAGCGCGUUUUUGAAUUUGUAGCGCGUAUAGAGUCCGUGAGGUACCUUGUGGAGUUCGUGCUGUGGCUGGAGCCAGCUACUCAGGGUGAACUCUGAAGUCCUGAGCUAUGGCAGAACUCAAGCCCCUCAAGUCACAUAGAAAUCUACCCAUCAAACACUGGAUUGCCAUGUGCCAGGUAAAAAGAUCAGAGCUACAAAAUAAUUGACUAAUUACUUCAAAAGUGACAACAUCCCUCUUCAAAAUGAAAGGACAAAAACAAACACAUACAAAAAAGGUAACUUCAUUAAUGAAGGGAUAAAUUACCGAUGGCUUCUUCAUUUUCUUUAGUUCAUUACCCCCC
RNAcentral lists this long non-coding RNA (704 nucleotides) under Heterocephalus glaber (naked mole-rat). RNAcentral's name for it is "lncRNA (ENSHGLG00100046484.1)". Lineage: Eukaryota; Metazoa; Chordata; Mammalia; Rodentia; Bathyergidae. The record is from RNAcentral.